RNAcentral lists this ribosomal RNA (720 nucleotides) under Triticum aestivum (bread wheat). Its description in RNAcentral is "partial small subunit ribosomal RNA". The record is from RNAcentral. Lineage: Eukaryota; Viridiplantae; Streptophyta; Magnoliopsida; Poales; Poaceae.
AUGUGUCACUUGAUGAAGAAGAUUGACAUGGCCACGAUGCGCAUUGACUAUGGCCCUAAUAAAUUUCUUGUAGUCAGAAGAGAAACCAUGCAUCAGGCAUUCGGGUUCCCGAUGGGUGAUGACACAGCUCCCAGGCCAGCUGAUAGUGGCCAUGACAAGUCAAUGGCUAGAUUUAAGGCGGAGUUGGGUUUCAGCAAAGCUUCUGUGGUUGACACGAAAUACCCGAGGAAUGUGUUGAAGCAGCUUGUAGUCGAUGAGUCAAAGGAUGCCCUUGCUGUAAAGAAUGCAGAUAUAGUCUUUAAAGUACAAAAAUCUAGUAACGCCAUGGAAGAUGAUGGUGUAUUCGAGAAGAUUGAUGACUUAUUACGGAAGGUGAAUGAGUUGGCUGCUGAAGUUCCCACGAUGUCUGAUCGUCUGGGCUGCAUUGCUGGCAUUUUCCCUGAAGGUCAUGGACCAAGAGAAGAAUCAAUGAAGGAGGAGGCUACGGAGCGUUAUCUUGCUUUCAUUGGUAGUCUCCGGAGUGCGACAUCACACAUUCGCACCACUUUUAAUCAUUUGAAGAAGAAACAAGAUGCGAUAUGCAAAGGCUUUGAAAAUGAUGCUUGUAUUAUUGUGAGUCAGAUUAGCAAGCGGAAGAAUGACGCGUCUGCCCCUGUACGUGGUGAUGAUUAUACUGGGCAAUGGGGUGAGGAGAUUAACUGUCUUGUACGAGAUAGCUAA